Molecule: ribosomal RNA, 465 nt
Filed under: uncultured bacterium
Lineage: Bacteria
Description: partial 16S ribosomal RNA
Rfam family: Bacterial small subunit ribosomal RNA
Source: RNAcentral
GACGAACGCUGGCGGCGUGCUUAACACAUGCAAGUCGAACGGAAAGGCCCCUUUGGGGGUACUCGAGUGGCGAACGGGUGAGUAACACGUGAGUAACCUGCCCUUGACUUCGGGAUAACUUCAGGAAACUGGGGCUAAUACCGGAUAGGAAUCCUUGCUGCAUGGUGGGGGUUGGAAAGCUUCGGCGGUUUUGGAUGGACUCGCGGCUUAUCAGCUUGUUGGUGGGGUAGUGGCUUACCAAGGCUUUGACGGGUAGCCGGCCUGAGAGGGCGACCGGCCACAUUGGGACUGAGAUACGGCCCAGACUCCUACGGGGGGCAGGAGUGGGGAAUAUUGCACAAUGGGCGGAAGCCUGAUGCAGCAACGCCGCGUGCGGGAUGACGGCCUUCGGGUUGUAAAACGCUUUCAGCAGGGGCGAAGCUUGUGGUGACGGUACCUGCAGAAGAAGCACCGGCUAACUACGUG